This 102-nucleotide ribosomal RNA is filed under the name Salinivibrio sp. IB868. RNAcentral's name for it is "partial 16S ribosomal RNA". It matches the Rfam family "Bacterial small subunit ribosomal RNA", at positions 1436 to 1533 of the family's 1533-position model. The record is from RNAcentral. Lineage: Bacteria; Pseudomonadati; Pseudomonadota; Gammaproteobacteria; Vibrionales; Vibrionaceae.
UAACCUUCGGGAGGGCGUUUACCACGGUGUGGUUCAUGACUGGGGUGAAGUCGUAACAAGGUAGCCCUAGGGGAACCUGGGGCUGGAUCACCUCCUUACUGA